Molecule: ribosomal RNA, 277 nt
Filed under: uncultured prokaryote
Description: partial 16S ribosomal RNA
Rfam family: Bacterial small subunit ribosomal RNA
Source: RNAcentral
UACGUAGGUGGCAAGCGUUGUCCGGAUUUACUGGGUGUAAAGGGGGCGCAGGCGGGAAGCUAAGUUGGAUGUGAAAUACCGGGGCUCAACUCCGGAGCUGCAUCCAAAACUGGUUUUCUUGAGUGGAGUAGAGGCAAGCGGAAUUCCGAGUGUAGCGGUGAAAUGCGUAGAUAUUCGGAGGAACACCAGUGGCGAAGGCGGCUUGCUGGGCUCUAACUGACGCUGAGGCCCGAAAGCGUGGGGAGCAAACAGGAUUAGAUACCCGCGUAGUCCCUGA